UAAGGACUUUGGGGGAAGAUAUUUCAUA
This 28-nucleotide non-coding RNA is filed under the name Rattus norvegicus (Norway rat). Lineage: Eukaryota; Metazoa; Chordata; Mammalia; Rodentia; Muridae. The record is from RNAcentral.